Molecule: ribosomal RNA, 253 nt
Filed under: uncultured bacterium
Lineage: Bacteria
Description: partial 16S ribosomal RNA
Rfam family: Bacterial small subunit ribosomal RNA
Source: RNAcentral
UACAGAGGUCUCAAGCGUUGUUCGGAUUCAUUGGGCGUAAAGGGUGUGUAGGUGGCGCCGUAAGUCGGGUGUGAAAUUUCGGAGCUUAACUCCGAAACUGCAUUCGAUACUGCGGUGCUUGAGGACUGGAGAGGAGACUGGAAUUCAUGGUGUAGCAGUGAAAUGCGUAGAGAUCGGAAGGAACACCAGUGGCGAAGGCGGGUCUCUGGGCCGUAACUGACGCUGAGGAGCGAAAGCGUGGGGAGCGAACAGG